UGGGAUAUACUCCAACGCCAUGCCAUUAGAAGCAAAUCGGUUCUUCUGAAACAGAUUUGCCCAACCUUUAGCUACUUUAUUGGUCCCUUCCUCUGGUUUGUUUUGCUCUGUCACAGGUGUUUGAGAUAGGUUCUGCAUGUAGUCGAUUCCACCAUUUCCUUGUACCAUAUGGGGUUGAGGAAGCAAUGAAACUCCAUCUGCUUCUAAUACCUCAACUGAUUGUGUCAAUGGAACAGUGGUAGUCAAUGGAACAAUAUCAGCUAAUGGAACGGUGUCAAUAGGUUUAUUUACACUAACUGGGUGGUUUAUAGUUGAAAUGAUUCGAUCUAUGGUUG
Molecule: long non-coding RNA, 335 nt
Filed under: Nicotiana benthamiana
Lineage: Eukaryota; Viridiplantae; Streptophyta; Magnoliopsida; Solanales; Solanaceae
Description: long non-coding RNA (NBEN_LNC035942)
Source: RNAcentral